This 478-nucleotide ribosomal RNA is filed under the name uncultured bacterium. RNAcentral's name for it is "partial 16S ribosomal RNA". It matches the Rfam family "Bacterial small subunit ribosomal RNA", at positions 28 to 507 of the family's 1533-position model. The record is from RNAcentral.
GAUGAACGCUGGCGGCGUGCUUAACACAUGCAAGUCGAACGAGAAGUGAAGACGGAAACCUUCGGGCGGAAGGCUUUAUUUCGAGUGGCGGACGGGGGAGUAACGCGUGGGUAACCUGCCUCAUACAGGGGGAUAACAGUUGGAAACGACUGUUAAUACCGCAUAAGACCACAGCACCGCAUGGUGCGGGGGUAAAAACUCCGGUGGUAUGAGAUGGACCCGCGUUCGAUUAGCCAGUUGGCGGGGUAACGGCCCACCAAAGCGACGAUCGAUAGCCGAUCUGAGAGGAUGACCGGCCACAUUGGGACUGAGACACGGCCCAAACUCCUACGGGAGGCAGCAGUGGGGAAUAUUGCACAAUGGGGGAAACCCUGAUGCAGCGACGCCGCGUGAGUGAAGAAGUAUUUCGGUAUGUAAAGCUCUAUCAGCAGGGAAGAAAAUGACGGUACCUGAGUAAGAAGCCCCGGCUAACUACGUG